This 497-nucleotide ribosomal RNA is filed under the name uncultured bacterium. Its description in RNAcentral is "partial 16S ribosomal RNA". It matches the Rfam family "Bacterial small subunit ribosomal RNA", at positions 28 to 507 of the family's 1533-position model. The record is from RNAcentral.
GAUGAACGCUGGCGGCGUGCCUAAUACAUGCAAGUCGAGCGAACAGACGAGGAGCUUGCUCCUCUGACGUUAGCGGCGGACGGGUGAGUAAAACGUGGAUAACCUACCUAUAAGACUGGGAUAACUUCGGGAAACCGGAGCUAAUACAGGAUAAUAUAUUGAACCGCAUGGUUCAAUAGUGAAAGACGGUUUUGCUGUCACUUAUAGAUGGAUCCGCGCCGCAUUAGCUAGUUGGUAAGGUAACGGCUUACCAAGGCAACGAUGCGUAGCCGACCUGAGAGGGUGAUCGGCCACACGGGAACUGAGACACGGUCCAGACUCCUACGGGAGGCAGCAGUAGGGAAUCUUCCGCAAUGGGCGAAAGCCUGACGGAGCAACGCCGCGUGAGUGAUGAAGGUCUUCGGAUCUUAAAACUCUGUUAUUAGGGAAGAACAAAUGUGUAAGUAACUAUGCACGUCUUGACGGUACCUAAUCAGAAAGCCACGGCUAACUACGUG